This 242-nucleotide ribosomal RNA is filed under the name uncultured fungus. RNAcentral's name for it is "partial 18S ribosomal RNA". It matches the Rfam family "Eukaryotic small subunit ribosomal RNA", at positions 1591 to 1830 of the family's 1831-position model. The record is from RNAcentral. Lineage: Eukaryota; Fungi.
UAUUGCUCUUGAAACCGAGGAAUCCCUAGUAAGCACAAGUCACUAGCUUGUGCUGAUUACGUCCCUGCCCUUUGUACACACCGCCCGUCGCUACUACCGAUUGAAUGGCUUAGUGAGGCCCUCGGAUCGGAGGUGAGGACUGGCAACAGACCUCGCUUCCAAGAAGUUGGUCAAACUUGGUCAUUUAGAGGAAGUAAAAGUCGUAACAAGGUUUCCGUAGGUGAACCUGCGGAAGGAUCAUU